This 498-nucleotide ribosomal RNA is filed under the name Trochalus sp. DA3830. RNAcentral describes it as "partial 16S large subunit ribosomal RNA". The stretch from base 372 to 498 matches the Rfam family "Bacterial large subunit ribosomal RNA", at positions 2473 to 2600 of the family's 2925-position model. Lineage: Eukaryota; Metazoa; Arthropoda; Insecta; Coleoptera; Scarabaeidae. The record is from RNAcentral.
UUUAAGGUCUAAUCUGCCCUAUGAGGAAUUAAAUGGCCGCGGUAUUUUGACCGUGCAAAGGUAGCAUAAUAAUUAGUUUUUUAAUUGGAAGCUGGAAUGAAUGAUUGGACGAGAAAAUUUCUGUCUCAAUUUAAUUUAGUUAGAAUUUUAUUUUUAAGUAAAAAAGCUUAAAUUUUUUUAAAAGACGAGAAGACCCUAUAGAGUUUUAUAUAUUUAUUUAUAUUUAAAUUUUUAGAAUUUUAUUUUUGUUAUAUUUAUAAAUAUAUUUUGUUGGGGUGAUAGAAAAAUUGAAUUAACUUUUUUUAUAUUUUUACAUUAAUUUAUGGUUAAAUGAUCCAUUUUUUAUGAUUAUAAGUUUAAAUUACCUUAGGGAUAACAGCGUAAUUUUUUUUUAGAGUUCUUAUCGAAAAAAUAGAUUGCGACCUCGAUGUUGGAUUAAAAUAAACAUUUGGUGUAGGGGCUAAAUAGUUAGGUCUGUUCGACCUUUAAAAUUUUACA